GACGACCGCUGGCGGCGUGCUUAACACAUGCAAGUCGAACGGAGAGGCCCUGCUUUUGUGGGGUGCUCGAGUGGCGAACGGGUGAUUAACACGUGAGUAACCUGCCCUUGACUUUGGGAUAACUUCAGGAAACUGGGGCUAAUCCCGAAUAGGACCUCCUGCUGCAUGGGGGGGUUGGGAAAUUUCGGGGGGUGGGGGGUGGCCCGCGGGUUUUUCGCUUGUUUGGGGGGGUGGGGGUUUCCAAGGGUUUUGCGGGGGGCCGGCCUGGGGGGGUGACCGGGCACAUUGGGAAAGAGAAACGGGCCAGAAUCCUAAGGGGGGGAGCAGUGGGGAAUAUUGCAAAAUGGGGGGAAGCCUGAUGGAGGAAAGCCGCGGGCGGGAUGACGGCCUUCGGGUUGUAAACCGCUUUCGCCUGUGACGAAGCGUGAGUGACGGUAAUGGGUAAAGAAGCACCGGCUAACUACGUG
RNAcentral lists this ribosomal RNA (467 nucleotides) under uncultured bacterium. Its description in RNAcentral is "partial 16S ribosomal RNA". It matches the Rfam family "Bacterial small subunit ribosomal RNA", at positions 28 to 507 of the family's 1533-position model. The record is from RNAcentral.